This 253-nucleotide ribosomal RNA is filed under the name uncultured bacterium. RNAcentral describes it as "partial 16S ribosomal RNA". It matches the Rfam family "Bacterial small subunit ribosomal RNA", at positions 524 to 776 of the family's 1533-position model. The record is from RNAcentral.
UACGUAGGGUGCAAGCGUUAAUCGGAAUUACUGGGCGUAAAGCGUGCGCAGGCGGUUGGGGAAGACAGAGGUGAAAUCCCCGGGCUUAACCUGGGAACUGCAUUUGUGACUGCACGGCUAGAGUGUGUCAGAGGGGGGUAGAAUUCCACGUGUAGCAGUGAAAUGCGUAGAUAUGUGGAGGAAUACCGAUGGCGAAGGCAGCCCCCUGGGAUAACACUGACGCUCAUGCACGAAAGCGUGGGGAGCAAACAGG